RNAcentral lists this ribosomal RNA (802 nucleotides) under Erysiphe quercicola. Its description in RNAcentral is "eukaryotic LSU rRNA". It matches the Rfam family "Eukaryotic large subunit ribosomal RNA", at positions 1 to 816 of the family's 3401-position model. Lineage: Eukaryota; Fungi; Ascomycota; Leotiomycetes; Helotiales; Erysiphaceae. The record is from RNAcentral.
UUGACCUCGAAUCAGGUAGGAAUACCCGCUGAACUUAAGCAUAUCAAUAAGCGGAGGAAAAGAAACCAACCGGGAUUACCUCAGUAACGGCGAGUGAAGCGGUAACAGCUCAAAUUUGAAAUCUGGCUCUUCCGGAGUCCGAGUUGUAAUUUGUAGAAGAUGCUUUGGGUUGUGGGUUCGGCCUAAGUUCCUUGGAACAGGACGUCAUAGAGGGUGAGAAUCCCGUAUGUGGCCGAGGCCCGCGCCUAUGUAAAGCUCUUUCAACGAGUCGAGUUGUUUGGGAAUGCAGCUCAAAAUGGGUGGUAAAUUUCAUCUAAAGCUAAAUAUGGGCCAGAGACCGAUAGCGCACAAGUAGAGUGAUCGAAAGAUGAAAAGCACUUUGGAAAGAGAGUUAAACAGUACGUGAAAUUGUUGAAAGGGAAGCGCUUGCAACCAGACUUGGGCGCUGCCGAUCACCUUGAGUUUUCUCAAGUGCACUCGACAGCGCACAGGCCAGCAUCGGUUCGGGUGGCUGGAUAAAGGCCGUAGGAAUGUGGCUCUCUUCGGGGAGUGUUAUAGCCUACGGUGCCAUGCAGCCCAGCCGGACCGAGGACCGCGCCUUCGGGCUAGGAUGCUGGCGUAAUGGUUGUAAGCGACCCGUCUUGAAACACGGACCAAGGAGUCUAACAUCUAUGCGAGUGUUUGGGUGGUAAACCCAUACGCGGAAUGAAAGUGAACGUAGGUGAGAACCCCUUUGGGGCGCAUCAUCGACCGAUCCUGAUGUCUUCGGAUGGAUUUGAGUAAGAGCAUAGCUGUUGGGACC